UGGGGAAGUCCCCACCAUUUUGCCAGUGAUAUGUCUGUUCUGUUCGCGACAUCAACGUCAGUGAGAAGACCCCACGUAUUGGUGGAAAUGACAAAAAGUUUUAUCGCUUCAAGACCAGUCUGGAGGAUUCCAACGAUGCUGAUUAACCAUAUCCUUCUGACAAUAUUCUUAAUCCUCGGGAGCUCAACGCUUUUGAAGGAUUCAUUUCUGGAAGAUAAUGCCAAGUGUUUUUACAUACUAUAAAAUUAUCCUCAGGGUCCACAAAAAAAAGCUAAAAUUUCUGUGAUGGCUUGAUAAUAUCCAACAUUCGCAAUGCAGUCAAUUAUGUUGAUGUACUAGCAAUUGACGUCACUUGAGUCGAAACGUCUGGAUAGUACUUGCUUGGUUUCGAUCCACAGAACCUUUUGAAUCCAAUUCACGCUGCUGCCAAAUACCAGGGGAAGAAGAAAUGCAAUGAUGAUUAUGAAUCAGUUUUUGAAACAUUUUCCUGACAUUAAAAACGUCUCAAUAAAAUGGAUAGUUAUGCUAUGUGAACUUGAAACAAUGUUGAAAUAUUCAGUGGCAUUUAAAAUUCAGACAAAUUUAUCAUUUUACUCAGAGUUUUUUAAAUUAUAAAAAAUCAUUGCAAAAAGUGUAUAAAAAAACGAGAUAGACCAAAUCAUAUCAGACGCAUUUGAUUUCAUUUACACCCCGUGACGUCAUUCUUCGGCCUAAGCUGAUGAAACUGCGGGAUUUAUUUCACAAGAAGGCUGGAGAUAUUGCAUCCAUCUUUUUCAUGGACUCUUGAACUCAGAUAGGAUUUAUUAGAACUAUCGAGGAGCAUUUCCCUGAAAUCCUACGACGAGUCUAACAUCAGAGUGUACUUUAUCCCAUUAUUUUUUUAAUCAAGUCUUGAUUUUUUCCACUCCCAAUGUAUGUAAUCAUAUCAGAAAUGAUAACAGGAAGACCCCACAUAUUUUUCAUUCUAUAUAUGUUCUUGUGUCAACAUGGCAAUUCACGUGUAUUGAAUGAUUAACAUUUGACAAAAUAUGGUUCAACAUCGACGUAGCAACGUCGUUUUAUCAUCGCCGAAUUUUAGGGAGAGAGUUACAAUUUUCUGAUCAUCUUUUUUUGUAGAAUAAAACCAGAGCCACAAAAAACGUUUUCAUGAAGUAUUUUCAAGGAUGUAGAGUGCAUGAUGUAACAACCUGAAGCAAUUUUCACUAUUGUAGGUGAUAUAUUCUAAUACGAAUCAAGGAGGAAUCAUAAAAAGACACAAAUUCGAAAGGAUUGAACAGGAAACGUUCCACUGAUCUCGCCAAAAUCUUGGAGAUAUCGCACUCUAUUCGAGGAUUGCGCAUGCUUGAUCCGCACGCAGAGAGACCAAGAGCCAGCUUGUAAGAAGAACAGCUGGGCAUCAAGGUCAUUUAACAUACUCAGCCACACUCAGCUACGUCACUUUUUCCGAUGGUGGGGAAAAGUCAUCGGGUGGGAGAAAUAAUGGAGAAAAAACGGGAAAAUGAGCGAAGCAUCACUUCGGUUAUCGGACGAGCCCUCGCACUUCGACGAAUGAGUGUUAGUUAAAAUAUUAUGAGACUUAUCAUUAAAAAGGUUGGGGUUGGUAUUAUCUUGUCGCGGAUGAGCAGCACGUAGAAACGUUGUAGUGGGGAAUAUUUCGCGACAACAAUUACCGACAUUCACUCGCUUAACGUUUAUUCAUGAAAUUUGCCUAAUUAUUUGGGACGAAUCUACCUUUUGAUUUUUUUAACAUCCGGUUGAAAUUAUUUGCAAAUCGAUACAUAACCCCAAACUGCCAUUACAAAUUUCAACCAAAAUAAUUAUUUGAUUGUUACCCAACCCAAUUACCGCGCUUUGUUUAUUGUUUCUGCACGCUGCUAAUUAUUUUUCAUUCUAAUAAAAUCAUUGUUUCAACCAUGUACUUAUGAUGGCGAUUUGUAAUCACGUGACCCUCUCCAACCGGGCCUUAAAGCUAUUUAUUCACCCCCCCCCCCCAGUUUUACCAAUAUUACAUUAAUUAUUCACUUGCAUGUUUCAUCUAGAAGCAUUUACGUUCAUUUAAGCAGAAUAAUUAGCAGUUCUAGCAAAAUUGACAAUAAACAAGCACACAAAAUUAUCAAUUACAACGUAUUAUUUUAUAUCAUCCCAUAAUGUAUAAAUUUUUGCAUGACGUAAUCCCCAUAAAACAGUCGAUUAUGUCAAAUGAUAGUUAUAAAUGAUUGCCAACUUACUGUAGAGUGUCGCCAAUAUGUGAUAAGUGCGUGAAUGUCAUCGCUCGGUGCAUACAACAGAAAAUCUCGCCAUUCAUUGAAAGUUAUACUCAAACUGCCAUCUCGAUCCAUUCUAGAAUUCCAAUGUAAUUUGAUUCUUAAUUAUCUACAGGAAAUGUUUCGAUCAUCUAUCUUAUACCUUUGUAAUAAUUUUGUUGCUUCAGUUCUGUCCAUUUUUAUCCCCAGAUCCUUGUUAAAGGAACUUAUCAACUCCUCCAGAUCAAUUUUACCUGAAAUAUGAGGUUUUAUAGAUGAGAAAAUACAAAUAGUUGUUUGACAAUAAUCGUGAUAUUUAUGUUAUAACUUUUUUUUUGCAUAUUUGCAUCCACUCUACAAUAAGGGUUAUAAUUAAAAUAGAUCUACCUUCCGUAAAUCCAGAGAUAUUCCCUGAAAAGCCAGCUACGAAUUAAGUUGUCUUACCCUUUCACCGGUUUCGAUUUAAAUUCAACCGUUUUACAACUUCAGUGAUAUUUUGAUAAAUGCUGUGAAUAAUUAAUGGCUAUGGUGCAUGUCUGAUGUACUUCAGAAGUGUCACGAGCUUCUGUUCAGCUAGGCUGAUAAUAUGUUAAACAAGUGACGUAGGCAAUUCUUACCAUCUUUAUUUUUGUCAAGAUGGGUAAACUGCAGACGAAGUUUCUUUUCAUGCUCAAUAACGUAGUGAAUGAAUUCAGCUAGACUUAUAUCGCCGCUUUUGGUGCUGUCAGACUCUUGCAGGAAUUUCUAAAAUAUUACAAUCAUUUUAUUAUUAAUGAAUCCUUAAUGUCAUUGAUUUAUUACAUGUAAAUUUUGAUGAUUAGGACGAGCUGGCUUUGAAUUAGCGAAGGAUUGAAGAAAAUAAAGGCUUAUAAAUUGAGUGAGAUAAAAUCCUGGACUAGAUGCUGUCUUCACUAAUGUCAUCGACAAUUACUCGUCAUCAAUUGGUAGACGUUAGCCUUAGUGAAACCUUACAAAAUAUAGUUUAAAAAUCGUCGGAGACAUAAUAGAAUGGCGAAGGCUGUAAAUGAUCCAAUGGAAUAUCAUUCAAUUAUUAACCUUUUGUUCUGUAAAAUAGGAUGAAAAUCUCCUAUAUUCUGUAAUCUUCAAUGACGGAAUCACGUUUCAACGAAAAUCUUCAAUGAAAUUGGUUUCGUAUAAUUGUAAAUAGAUCUUAAUAUAAUCACAUUGAGAGUAAAUUGUAAAAAUUCUGAAAAACUAGAAAUAAUUUCUCGAAAACUCGUUUAAUUGUAAAAACGAUUAGAUGGAAUAAAUAAAUUGCAAGAAAAUGGUAAAAAAUAAAGACCUACGAGUGAAAGCGUUGGCUAUGACGAAGCCUGAGUGAAAAAUACAGACAAGGUCAAUUUUGUAGGGAUGAGAUUGAGGUCAAAGUAAAUGUAAAUACGUUUAGGCACGUGGGGAAAUAUUUUUCUAAAAUUCUAAAAUUCCAUGAACAAUAUAUUUGAAAAUAUUUUCAGAUGUCCUAGCAUAAAUUAUAUGAUAUAAAAUAAUAAACAAGGAAAAUAUACCUCUGCAUAUCGUUUGUGUACGCCAACUUGAUGAAGAGCCUGUGCCAAAUCAUGUACAUCGAUCCUUCCAUUGCCGUCGAUGUCCAAUUGUUGAAAAAUCUUGGAGAGUCUCUCCUCCGUCUGUGCUGGCAAUUCAUGGAGAUAAUGAGAAGGUAGUACCAUAUGUACAUUGGUCCCACUUCUCGUUGGCAUUGUUGGAUUUUAUAUUUCCAGAAUUAGUCAUGCAAAUUCGCGAUAAAAGACGCCGACCACUUUGCACUGUGAAUACCUUGUGCUGCCUCAAAUAUGCAAUGUUUAAAAUUUCUCAAAUUUCAGUUGAAAAAGGGAAAGAUUGAACCACACACUGAUAAUUAAAUAGCAGAAAAAGCAACGAUUAAUUUAUGAAAUUAACAUGAGCACAGGGGAGGAGGUUAAACACUGGGUUAACACGAAAGAUUCUUGGUGCGCAGCCGACAACGAAGAACGUUCUACGUCCAGUUGAAACGAAUUAGCUGACCAAAUAUGUUGAGAGCUACUACUGGCGUUUGGUACUCUAAUAGAAAAUACCACCGACAAUUAAUUCAGCACAAGUUUCUACAUAGAUUUCGACCGGCUUCAAAGUUCACCUCAUGCGCGUUGUGUCAUUAUUCCCGUGUCAAGUGAUCGUGGAUUACACCGCUGACACGCGUUCUUGGAAGUGGAAUAAAAGAAAGGCUUUUUGGAACAACUGCAUUGUGGCGGCAUCUGUUACUAUUUCAAGUAAACUCAAUGCUGGAAUAUGCUCCAUUUCAAUUAGAAAAUAAUAUUAUUCGCUCUAGGAGCAACUUGGACUAAACUAAGUAAACUAAGUAACUGUUUGUUGAUGGAAAACUUCAUUUUUAAUCUUAAAAAUCAGUGUUGUUGAUAAUCAUCAUAUUUAUUUUAACCCGGCUUUAAGUUUGUUGACUUUUAUAUUUGGACCUUAGUAAACCUCAAUAUAAUUUUUACAAUCUUUAAGUACGUCCUCAAAGGACAAUAAUCCUUCAUUUUUUUAGUAACACAAUGAAAAGUUCUCAUAACUAAUACGUGUAUUCAGAAUUAUUUUAUUGAGUAUAUAAAUAUACAAGUACACUUGUUUGUAAAAUA
Long non-coding RNA from Diachasmimorpha longicaudata, 4873 nucleotides. RefSeq lists it as uncharacterized. The record is from RefSeq and is a predicted model, not a curated record. The transcript is spliced from 5 exons. NCBI's taxonomy places the organism in Eukaryota, Metazoa, Arthropoda, Insecta, Hymenoptera, Braconidae.